RNAcentral lists this ribosomal RNA (764 nucleotides) under uncultured Prevotella sp. RNAcentral describes it as "bacterial SSU rRNA". It matches the Rfam family "Bacterial small subunit ribosomal RNA", at positions 28 to 776 of the family's 1533-position model. Lineage: Bacteria; Pseudomonadati; Bacteroidota; Bacteroidia; Bacteroidales; Prevotellaceae. The record is from RNAcentral.
GAUGAACGCUAGCUACAGGCUUAACACAUGCAAGUCGCGGGGCAUCAUGGAGGUUGCUUGCAAUUUCUGAUGGCGACCGGCGCACGGGUGAGUAACGCGUAUCCAACCUUCCCAUUACUACGGCAUACCCCGUUGAAAGGCGGCCUAAUUCCGUAUGCAGUCCGAAGCAGUCAUCUAAUUUGGACGAAAGGUAUAUUCUAUCGGUAAUGGAUGGGGAUGCGUCCGAUUAGCCAGCCGGCGGGGUAACGGCCCACCGGGGCAUUGAUCGGUAGGGGUUCUGAGAGGAAGGUCCCCCACACUGGAACUGAGACACGGUCCAGACUCCUACGGGAGGCAGCAGUGAGGAAUAUUGGUCAAUGGGCGUAAGCCUGAACCAGCCAAGUAGCGUGCAGGAUGACGGCCCUAUGGGUUGUAAACUGCUUUUAUGCGGGGAUAAAGUUGGGGACGUGUCCCUUUUUGCAGGUACCGCAUGAAUAAGGACCGGCUAAUUCCGUGCCAGCAGCCGCGGUAAUACGGAAGGUCCGGGCGUUAUCCGGAUUUAUUGGGUUUAAAGGGAGCGUAGGCAGUUUUUUAAGCGUGCUGUGAAAUGUACCGGCUCAACCGGUGAUGUGCAGCGCGAACUGGGAAUCUUGAGUACGCAGUAAGCAGGCGGAAUUCGUGGUGUAGCGGUGAAAUGCUUAGAUAUCACGAAGAACUCCGAUUGCGUAGGCAGCUUGCUGUAGCGUAACUGACGCUGAAGCUCGAAAGUGCGGGUAUCGAACAGG